RNAcentral lists this non-coding RNA (26 nucleotides) under Homo sapiens (human). The record is from RNAcentral. Lineage: Eukaryota; Metazoa; Chordata; Mammalia; Primates; Hominidae.
GAAAAGUCAUUUUCCGUAAGUGAGGC